Molecule: long non-coding RNA, 1065 nt
Organism: Triticum aestivum (bread wheat)
Lineage: Eukaryota; Viridiplantae; Streptophyta; Magnoliopsida; Poales; Poaceae
Exons: 3
Source: RefSeq, a predicted model, not a curated record
UGUAUUUGCAAUUUUCACGGUGCCGCCGCCUCCGCCUCACCGGAGCGGGGGUUCUCGCGCGCGGCCGCGGGCUCCUGGCCGCUCGGCGCCCGUCGCUCAUCUACGGCCUAGCAGUGUUCCAUUGGGAGAAGCAAUGUCUGGAGUAAUAACUAAGUUUGCUGUUACAUCGAUGUUCAUGUGGAUGCCCCAGUUGCAAUUAUGUGUGGGUUCUGCCACCAGAUUUUUCCAGGUAUUAGUCACCUUUCAUCCUCAGCGCAAACUCUGGCCAGUGGGUUCCUUGCUGUCAUAUCGGUUAAUAUUGUGAUUGGCUUCUACAUAUACUCUGCGAUGAAGGAGGCUCCCCGCCAAGAGCCACAACCUGAUGCACCUUCUCAGCGAAUGCUAAAGCAAGUAUUAACCAGCCAGCAUCUUCUCAAGUGAGUUAUGAUUCCAAGGGGAAGGUGGAGUAGGCAGGAACACAACUUGACUUGGGUUUUCUUUCCAGUAUACACAUGUUAUUCAGAAUCAGUUGUGUCAUGUGCAUAAGGUAACAUCACAGCCUUUCAUUAGAUGCACUGCUGUCAAUUUUGAGAAGUAUGAAGCCAGAACCUAAUAUUCCGUAUGUUUAACUUUGCGCUAGCCUGAACUCAUAGUGAAGCAAUGUGUCCUUGCUAGAGGAGUUUGUUUGCAAACCUUAACUAGUGAAUUUAUAUUUUCUCCCUGAAACAACUAUCUCUCAUAUCAUUGUUGUGUAUUCUUUCGGUGACUGGCCGCUGUUGAAUAUAUUAUGUUGAUUUUCAUUGGAAGGGAAAGAUUUAUCUUGUACUUGCUCUUAAUUUGCCUUGUACUCAUUUUGUCACCAGAGAGCCAUUUCACUGUCGCUUGUUUUCCCUCCACUUUUGCCAAAUGGGCACAUCUUAUAAUUUCUGCUUUCUGACAUGUUUAUAUGAAUUUGGCUUUUAAAUAAUUUCUAGUCUUAAUCUGAGUUUACAUGUUUCCUAUGCUCGCUGUCCUGUUAGAAUUGGCCAAUGAGCACUUUUCAUUUUCACGAAGUUUUCACACCUUUGGUGCAACAAAAAGAAGGAA